RNAcentral lists this ribosomal RNA (440 nucleotides) under uncultured bacterium. Its description in RNAcentral is "partial 16S ribosomal RNA". It matches the Rfam family "Bacterial small subunit ribosomal RNA", at positions 338 to 795 of the family's 1533-position model. The record is from RNAcentral.
CCUACGGGUGGCAGCAGUGGGGAAUAUUGCACAAUGGGGGAAACCCUGAUGCAGCGACGCCGCGUGAGUGAAGAAGUAAUUCGUUAUGUAAAGCUCUAUCAACAGGGAAGAAAAUGACGGUAGCUGAGUAAUGAGCCAUAGCCAACUACGUUCCAGGAGCCGCGGUAAUAAGUAAGGGGCAAGCGUUUAUCGGAUUUAAUGGGUGUAAAGGGAGAGUAGAAGGCAGUGCAAGUAUGGAGUGAAAAGUGGUGGCUCAACCCCCGUAGUGCUAUGGAAACUGUACGGGUGGAGUGCAGGAGAGGUAAGUGGAACUCCAAGUGUAGCGGUGAAAUGCGUAGAUAUAAGGAGGAACACCAGUGGCGAAGGCGGCUUACUGGACUGUAACUGACGUUGAGGCUCGAAAGCGUGGGGAGCAAACAGGAUUAGAUACCCUUGUAGUC